GUGGGGAAUAUUCCGCAAUGGACGAAAGUCUGACGGAGCAACGCCGCGUGAGUGAUGAAGGUUUUCGGACUGUAAAGCUCUGUUGUUUAGGACGAAAGUGCCUGUUGCAAACAGUUACAGGUAUUGACGGUACUAAACGAGGAAGCCACGGCUAACUACGUGCCAGCAGCCGCGGUAAUACGUAGGUGGCAAGCGUUGUCCGGAAUUAUUGGGCGUAAAGAGCAUGUAGGCGGGAAUCUAAGUCUGUUGUGAAAAUGCGGGGCUCAACCCCGUAUUGCGAUGGAAACUGGGUUGCUUGAGUGCAGGAGAGGAAAGGGGAAUUCCCAGUGUAGCGGUGAAAUGCGUAGAUAUUGGGAGGAACACCAGUGGCGAAGGCGCCUUUCUGGACUGUGUCUGACGCUGAGAUGCGAAAGCCAGGGUAGCGAACGGGAUUAGAUACCCGUGUAGUCC
Molecule: ribosomal RNA, 450 nt
Filed under: uncultured bacterium
Lineage: Bacteria
Description: partial 16S ribosomal RNA
Rfam family: Bacterial small subunit ribosomal RNA
Source: RNAcentral